Molecule: non-coding RNA, 225 nt
Filed under: Niallia circulans
Lineage: Bacteria; Bacillati; Bacillota; Bacilli; Caryophanales; Bacillaceae
Description: Bacillus circulans T-box sequence
Rfam family: T-box leader
About the family: Uncharged tRNA acts as the effector for transcription antitermination of genes in the T-box leader family. T-boxes are found upstream of many aminoacyl-tRNA synthetase genes and some amino acid biosynthetic genes usually in Gram-positive bacteria.
Source: RNAcentral
UAAUCAACACGGAUAAGGAAUAGUAAAGAUGCCCUUUUGAAAGAAGAGAACUGACGGAUGGUGCAAGUCAGUCAAAAACAUCUUGAACUCACCUUUGAGUUGCAAGUGUGAACUUUUAGUAAUGCUUGCCGUACACCUGCGUUAAAGGAUAAUGAAGCGAGUGAUUUAUUCACUAAUUGUGGGUGGUACCGCGGGAGAUUAUACAUAAUGCCUCUCGUCCCUAUU